AUGGAUGACAUACACAUAUACAACAUGUACACCUUGUCUCUUUUGUUAGCCAUGUUUCAGAUUAAGCAACGCCGAGAAUGGCUUUGUUUUCAAGAAGGGGAGGAUGAUGAGGACAUGGCUAGCACAGUUACACCCACAACCCCUGCUACUUUACCUAUUGGACCAAUUAUUAGAGCUCGCGCAUGCCAGUUAAAUUAUCAGGUACCUUCGUUUCUUGGUAAUAUUUCUAAUGUUCAUGAGAAUGUGAUGCUACUUAACUUAGAUAUAUUUGUGUUGGCUACAGUUGAAGCACCUAGCAUGGACAAGAAGAAUGAACACUGGAUCAUGAUCAAGCACUAUGAUGAAUGCACGCGCGAAGGGAACAAGAACGAACUUUAUGAAGGAGAUUUCCACACUUUGAAGCCACCAUGA
RNAcentral lists this ribosomal RNA (411 nucleotides) under Triticum aestivum (bread wheat). RNAcentral describes it as "partial small subunit ribosomal RNA". Lineage: Eukaryota; Viridiplantae; Streptophyta; Magnoliopsida; Poales; Poaceae. The record is from RNAcentral.